CGGUGUCGGUUGGAAGCGUGCGAGAUCUCAUCUGAUCUCGGAAGUUAAGCAGGGUCGGGCCUGGUUAGUACUUGGAUGGGAGACCGCGUGGGAAUACUGGGUACUGU
Molecule: ribosomal RNA, 107 nt
Filed under: Macaca nemestrina (pig-tailed macaque)
Lineage: Eukaryota; Metazoa; Chordata; Mammalia; Primates; Cercopithecidae
Source: RNAcentral